This 253-nucleotide ribosomal RNA is filed under the name uncultured bacterium. Its description in RNAcentral is "partial 16S ribosomal RNA". It matches the Rfam family "Bacterial small subunit ribosomal RNA", at positions 524 to 776 of the family's 1533-position model. The record is from RNAcentral.
UACAGAGGGGGCAAGCGUUGUUCGGAAUUACUGGGCGUAAAGGGCGCGUAGGCGGCCGCCUAAGUCAGACGUGAAAUCCCUCGGCUCAACCGGGGAACUGCGUCUGAUACUGGGUGGCUUGAAUCCGGGAGAGGGAUGCGGAAUUCCAGGUGUAGCGGUGAAAUGCGUAGAUAUCUGGAGGAACACCGGUGGCGAAGGCGGCAUCCUGGACCGACAUUGACGCUGAGGAGCGAAAGCUAGGGGAGCAAACGGG